GAUGAACGCUGGCGGCGUGCCUAAUACAUGCAAGUCGAGCGAACAGACGAGGAGCUUGCUCCUCUGACGUUAGCGGCGGACGGGUGAGUAACACGUGGAUAACCUACCUAUAAGACUGGGAUAACUUCGGGAAACCGGAGCUAAUACCGGAUAAUAUAUUGAACCGCAUAGUUCAAUAGUGAAAGACGGUUUUGCUGUCACUUAUAGAUGGAUCCGCGCCGCAUUAGCUAGUUGGUAAGGUAACGGCUUACCAAGGCGACGAUGCGUAGCCGACCUGAGAGGGUGAUCGGCCACACUGGAACUGAGACACGGUCCAGACUCCUACGGGAGGCAGCAGUAGGGAAUCUUCCGCAAUGGGCGAAAGCCUGACGGAGCAACGCCGCGUGAGUGAUGAAGGUCUUCGGAUCGUAAAGCUCUGUUAUUAGGGAAGAACAAAUGUGUAAGUAACUAUGCACGUCUUGACGGUACCUAAUCAGAAAGCCACGGCUAACUACGUG
RNAcentral lists this ribosomal RNA (497 nucleotides) under uncultured bacterium. RNAcentral's name for it is "partial 16S ribosomal RNA". It matches the Rfam family "Bacterial small subunit ribosomal RNA", at positions 28 to 507 of the family's 1533-position model. The record is from RNAcentral.